This 446-nucleotide ribosomal RNA is filed under the name uncultured bacterium. RNAcentral describes it as "partial 16S ribosomal RNA". It matches the Rfam family "Bacterial small subunit ribosomal RNA", at positions 354 to 796 of the family's 1533-position model. The record is from RNAcentral.
GUAAGGAAUAUUGGUCAAUGGGGGCAACCCUGAACCAGCCAUGCCGCGUGAAGGAUGAAGGCGUUAUGCGUUGUAAACUUCUUUUGUAUGGGAAGAAUGACAGGGAUUCAUCCUUGGAGAGACGGUACCAUACGAAUAAGCACCGGCUAACUCCGUGCCAGCAGCCGCGGUAAUACGGAGGGUGCAAGCGUUAUCCGGAAUCACUGGGUUUAAAGGGUACGUAGGCGGUUAAUUAAGUCAGUAGUGAAAGACUGUCGCUCAACGGCGGAUGAGCUAUUGAUACUGGUUAACUUGAAUCAGGUUAGAGUUGGCGGAAUGGGUCAUGUAGCGGUGAAAUGCUUAGAUAUGACUAGGAACACCGAUAGCGAAGGCAGCUGACUGAGCCUUGAUUGACGCUGAGGUACGAAAGUGUGGGUAGCGAACAGGAUUAGAUACCCGGGUAGUCC